Molecule: ribosomal RNA, 228 nt
Filed under: uncultured bacterium
Lineage: Bacteria
Description: partial 16S ribosomal RNA
Rfam family: Bacterial small subunit ribosomal RNA
Source: RNAcentral
UGAGCAAUCUGCCCUUCUCAUCGGAAUAAGCGUUGGAAACGACGUCUAAUACCGGAUACGAGCUGUGAAGGCAUCUUCAACAGCUGGAAAGAACUUCGGUCAAGGAUGAGCUCGCGGCCUAUCAGCUAGUUGGUGAGGUAAUGGCUCGCCAAGGCGUCGACGGGUAGCCGGCCUGAGAGGGUGACCGGCCACACUGGGACUGAGACACGGCCCAGACCUCUACGGGAG